UACAGAGGUCUCAAGCGUUGUUCGGAUUCAUUGGGCGUAAAGGGUGCGUAGGUGGCGGGGUAAGUCAGGUGUGAAAUUUCGGAGCUUAACUCCGAAACUGCAUUUGAUACUGCCUUGCUUGAGGACUGGAGAGGAGACUGGAAUUCACGGUGUAGCAGUGAAAUGCGUAGAUAUCGUGAGGAAGACCAGUGGCGAAGGCGGGUCUCUGGGCCGUAACUGACGCUGAGGAGCGAAAGCGUGGGGAGCGAACAGG
RNAcentral lists this ribosomal RNA (253 nucleotides) under uncultured bacterium. Its description in RNAcentral is "partial 16S ribosomal RNA". It matches the Rfam family "Bacterial small subunit ribosomal RNA", at positions 524 to 776 of the family's 1533-position model. The record is from RNAcentral.